GACGAACGCUGGCGGCGUGCUUAACACAUGCAAGUCGAGCGGUAAGGCCCCUUGGGGGUACGACGAGCGGCGAACGGGUGAGUAACACGUGGGUGACCUGCCCUCAGCUCUGGGAUAAGCCUGGGAAACUGGGUCUAAUACCGGAUAUGACUCCAUGACGCAUGUUGUGGGGUGGAAAGCCUUGUGCGGCUGGGGAUGGGCCCGCGGCCUAUCAGCUUGUUGGUGGGGUGAUGGCCUACCAAGGCGACGACGGGUAGCC
RNAcentral lists this ribosomal RNA (259 nucleotides) under uncultured bacterium. RNAcentral's name for it is "partial 16S ribosomal RNA". It matches the Rfam family "Bacterial small subunit ribosomal RNA", at positions 28 to 288 of the family's 1533-position model. The record is from RNAcentral.